UGCCACUAUUAGUUUAUCUGCAUUUGGUCAAGGUGGACCAUUUGGCUUUGGUUCCUUCAAUGAUAAGCGGAAGAAUCAGAAGAAGAAAUCUGACUCCACCAAUAAAAAUGAUCCAUCUUCUCAGAAAGGAAAUACCUCAAAACAUGAGGCACUGGGAAAUGAGUGGUUAGAAACAGGAAACUGUCCAAUUGCUAAAUCUUAUAGAGCUGUUAGUCGUGUACUACCACUCGUGGCAUCAACUUUUCAAUUGCCACCUGGUGUGAAGCUUAGAUGUCCACCUGCUGUAGUUGCUGCAAGGGCUGCCCUUGCACGGACUGCCCUCGUUAAAACCUUGCGACCGCAGCCACUACCUGCGAAGAUGUUUGUCAUUGCUCUCUUGGGCAUGGCAGCAAAUGUUCCCUUGGGCGUGUGGAAGGAACAUACUAGGAAGUU
This 432-nucleotide unclassified non-coding RNA is filed under the name Hevea brasiliensis (rubber tree). Lineage: Eukaryota; Viridiplantae; Streptophyta; Magnoliopsida; Malpighiales; Euphorbiaceae. The record is from RNAcentral.